GCGUAAAGAGCUCGUAGGUGGUUUGUCGCGUUGUUCGUGAAAUCUCACGGCUUAACUGUGAGCGUGCGGGCGAUACGGGCAGACUUGAGUACUGCAGGGGAGACUGGAAUUCCUGGUGUAGCGGUGGAAUGCGCAGAUAUCAGGAGGAACACCGGUGGCGAAGGCGGGUCUCUGGGCAGUAACUGACGCUGAGGAGCGAAAGCGUGGGGAGCGAACAGGAUUAGAUACCCUGGUAGUCCACGCCGUAAACGGUGGGUACUAGGUGUGGGUUUCCUUCCUUGGGAUCCGUGCCGUAGCUAACGCAUUAAGUACCCCGCCUGGGGAGUACGGCCGCGAGGCUAAAACUCAAAGAAAUCGACGGGGGCCCGCACAAGCGGCGGAGCAUGUGGAUUAAUUCGAUGCAACGCGAAGAACCUUACCUGGGUUUGACAUGCACAGGACGCCGGCAGAGAUGUCGGUUCCCUUGUGGCCUGUGUGCAGGUGGUGCAUGGCUGUCGUCAGCUCGUGUCGUGAGAUGUUGGGUUAAGUCCCGCAACGAGCGCAACCCUUGUCUCAUGUUGCCAGCGGGUAAUGCCGGGGACUCGUGAGAGACUGCCGGGGUCAACUCGGAGGAAGGUGGGGAUGACGUCAAGUCAUCAUGCCCCUUAUGUCCAGGGCUUCACACAUGCUACAAUGGCCGGUACAAAGGGCUGCGAUGCCGCGAGGUUAAGCGAAUCCCUUUAAAGCCGGUCUCAGUUCGGAUCGGGGUCCGCAACUCGACCCCGUGAAGUCGGAGUCGCUAGUAAU
Molecule: ribosomal RNA, 786 nt
Filed under: uncultured Mycobacterium sp.
Lineage: Bacteria; Bacillati; Actinomycetota; Actinomycetes; Mycobacteriales; Mycobacteriaceae
Description: bacterial SSU rRNA
Rfam family: Bacterial small subunit ribosomal RNA
Source: RNAcentral